This 441-nucleotide ribosomal RNA is filed under the name uncultured bacterium. RNAcentral describes it as "partial 16S ribosomal RNA". It matches the Rfam family "Bacterial small subunit ribosomal RNA", at positions 338 to 795 of the family's 1533-position model. The record is from RNAcentral.
CCUACGGGUGGCAGCAGUGGGGAAUUUUGCGCAAUGGGCGAAAGCCUGACGCAGCCAAGCCGCGUGAAGGAUUAAGUUCUUCGGCGUGUAAAGUUCUGUCAGUAGGGACGAAACUUGACGGUACCUACCGAGGAAGCACCGGCUAACUCCGAGACAGCAGCCGCGGUAAUACGGAGGGUGCAAGCGUUGUCCGGAAUCAUUGGGCGUAACGGGUUCGGUGGUGGGAUAGUAAGUCUGGUGGUAAAUGACGAAGCGCAACUUCUGUCCGGCAGUGGAUACUGGUUGGCUUGAGUGCGGUAGAGGUAAGCGGAAGGCCUGGUGUAGCGGUGAAAUGCUUAGAUAUCGGGAGGAACUUCGGUUGCGUAGGCGGUUUACUGGGCCGUAAUUGACGCUGAGGAACGAAAGCCUGGGUAUCGAAUGGGAUUAGAUACCCGAGUAGUC